GUUGUAGAAACAGUUUCUCAUCUGGAUCACUGUAAGAUACAGAGGAUUUACUGGCUGGUACUGGAAUGGUUCAAGUUUUCUAAGGUGGAAGCUUAUGUUAUUGACUUCAGACUAUUCUGAUUUUCUGAUACAUGCAUUUCAUGCUACAGAUUCCCCUGUAAACAUGCUUUCACUACAUCCCACAAAUUUGGUCUGAGAGCUUCUCUUUAAUUCCAAAGAAGAUAAAGAAAAGGUUUUUUUGUUUAACAGAUCAGAGCCUUAAAGCAGAAGGAG
Molecule: non-coding RNA, 273 nt
Organism: Puma concolor (puma)
Lineage: Eukaryota; Metazoa; Chordata; Mammalia; Carnivora; Felidae
Source: RefSeq, a predicted model, not a curated record